This 762-nucleotide ribosomal RNA is filed under the name uncultured Plasmodiophoridae. RNAcentral's name for it is "SSU rRNA". The record is from RNAcentral. Lineage: Eukaryota; Endomyxa; Phytomyxea; Plasmodiophorida.
GCCAGCAGCCGCGGUAAUACCAGCUCCAGUAGCGUAUGCUAAAGUUGUUGCAGUUAAAAAGCUCGUAGUUGUGUUUGUUUCYCGCGGAUGGGAUGCGUAGUGUUAAGGCACGGCGUGAACUGUCGGUGGAAUGAAAUUUUGGGCUGUGCUGCGCGUGAUCUUUGUUGGUCGUGCGUGCGUGUGGCCCAUCGUUUACUGUGAGAAAAUUAGAGUGUUCAAGGCAGGCGUUUGUAAUUGAAUAUGUUAGCAUGGAAUAAUGAGAUAUGGCUUCCGUUUGUUGGUUUUGUGAUGUGGAAGUAAUGAUUGAUAGGGACGGUUGGGGGUGCUAGUAUUCAGCGGCCAGAGGUGAAAUUCAUGGAUUCGCUGAAGACUGACUUUUGCGAAAGCAUUCACCAAGGACGCCCUCUUUAAUCAAGAACGAAAGUUGGGGGAUCGAAGACGAUCAGAUACCGUCGUAGUCUCAACCAUAAACUAUGUCGACUAGCGAUUGGCCGUUGUCUUCAACAGACAUGGUCAGGAGCUUGAGAGAAAUCAAAGUGUUUGGACUCUUGGGGAAGUAUGGUCGCAAGACUGAAACUURAAGGAAUUGACGGAAGGGCACCACCAGGAGUGGAGCCUGCGKCUUAAUUUGACUCAACACGGGARAACWUACCAGGUCCAGAGAUGUAGAGGAUUGACAGAUUGAAGCUCUUUCUUGAUCACUUCGGUGGUGGUGCAUGGCCGUUCUUAGUUGGUGGAGUGAUUUGUCUGGUUAAUUCCGUU